Molecule: ribosomal RNA, 498 nt
Filed under: uncultured bacterium
Lineage: Bacteria
Description: partial 16S ribosomal RNA
Rfam family: Bacterial small subunit ribosomal RNA
Source: RNAcentral
UGGGGAAUAUUGCACAAUGGGCGCAAGCCUGAUGCAGCAACGCCGCGUGAGGGAUGACGGCCUUCGGGUUGUAAACCUCUUUUAGUAGGGAAGAAGCGAAAGUGACGGUACCUGCAGAAAAAGCACCGGCUAACUACGUGCCAGCAGCCGCGGUAAUACGUAGGGUGCGAGCGUUGUCCGGAAUUAUUGGGCGUAAAGAGCUCGUAGGCGGUCUGUCGCGUCUGCUGUGAAAACCCGAGGCUCAACCUCGGGCCUGCAGUGGGUACGGGCAGACUAGAGUGCGGUAGGGGAGAAUGGAAUUCCUGGUGUAGCGGUGGAAUGCGCAGAUAUCAGGAGGAACACCGAUGGCGAAGGCAGUUCUCUGGGCCGUAACUGACGCUGAGAAGCGAAAGCGUGGGGAGCGAACAGGAUUAGAUACCCUGGUAGUCCACGCCGUAAACGUUGGGCGCUAGAUGUGGGGACCAUUCCACGGUUUCCGUGUCGCAGCUAACGCAUUAA